This 497-nucleotide ribosomal RNA is filed under the name uncultured bacterium. RNAcentral describes it as "partial 16S ribosomal RNA". It matches the Rfam family "Bacterial small subunit ribosomal RNA", at positions 28 to 507 of the family's 1533-position model. The record is from RNAcentral.
GAUGAACGCUGGCGGCGUGCUUAAUACAUGCAAGUCGAGCGGACGGACGAUGCUCUUACUGUUCUCAUGUUACCGACGGACGGGUAAGUCACGGGUGGAUUGCCUUCCUAUAAGGCUUAGGCCACUGCGGGAGACCGGAGUUAAUACCGGGUGAUAUUUUUAGCCGCAUGGUUCGAAAGUGUAUUACGUUCUGGCUGUCACUUCGACAUGGAUCCGCGGUGCUUGAGUUAGUUGGUAAGGUAGCGGCUUACCAAGGCGACGAUGCCUAGCCGACCGGAGAGGGGGUUGGGCGACACUGAGAGUGGACCACGGUCCAGACUCCUACGGGCGGCAGCAACAGGGAAGGUUGGGCGAUGGGCGGAAGCCUGACGGAUCAACGCCGCGUGGGUGAAGAGGGUCUGCGUAUCGUAAAACUCUGUUAUUAGGGAAGAACACAUGUGUAAGUGACUGUGCACAUCGUGACGGUACCUAAUCAGGAAGCCACGGCUAACUACGUG